RNAcentral lists this ribosomal RNA (229 nucleotides) under uncultured bacterium. RNAcentral's name for it is "partial 16S ribosomal RNA". It matches the Rfam family "Bacterial small subunit ribosomal RNA", at positions 568 to 796 of the family's 1533-position model. The record is from RNAcentral.
CAUGUAGGCGGGAAUACAAGUCAGAUGUGAAAUGCUGCGGCUUAACUGCAGCCCUGCAUCUGAAACUGUAUUUCUUGAGUACUGGAGAGGAAAGCGGAAUUCCUAGUGUAGCGGUGAAAUGCGUAGAUAUUAGGAGGAACACCGGUGGCGAAGGCGGCUUUCUGGACAGUUACUGACGCUGAGAUGCGAAAGCGUGGGGAGCAAACAGGAUUAGAUACCCUGGUAGUCC